GAUGAACGCUGGCGGCGUGCCUAAUACAUGCAAGUCGAGCGAACGGACGAGAAGCUUGCUUCUCUGAUGUUAGCGGCGGACGGGUGAGUAACACGUGGAUAACCUACCUAUAAGACUGGGAUAACUUCGGGAAACCGGAGCUAAUACCGGAUAAUAUUUUGAACCGCAUUGUUCAAAAGUGAAAGACGGUCUUGCUGUCACUUAUAGAUGGAUCCGCGCUGCAUUAGCUAGUUGGUAAGGUAACGGCUUACCAAGGCAACGAUGCAUAGCCGACCUGAGAGGGUGAUCGGCCACACUGGAACUGAGACACGGUCCAGACUCCUACGGGAGGCAGCAGUAGGGAAUCUUCCGCAAUGGGCGAAAGCCUGACGGAGCAACGCCGCGUGAGUGAUGAAGGUCUUCGGAUCGUAAAACUCCGUUAUUAGGGAAGAACAUAUGUGUAAGUAACUGUGCACAUCUUGACGGUACCUAAUCAGAAAGCCGCGGCUAACUACGUG
This 497-nucleotide ribosomal RNA is filed under the name uncultured bacterium. RNAcentral describes it as "partial 16S ribosomal RNA". It matches the Rfam family "Bacterial small subunit ribosomal RNA", at positions 28 to 507 of the family's 1533-position model. The record is from RNAcentral.